UACGUAGGGUGCAAGCGUUGUUCGGAAUCACUGGGCGUAAAGGGUACGCAGGCGGUCAAGUAAGUCAGGGGUGAAAACCCGGAGCUCAACUCCGGGCCUGCCUUUGAAACUGCUUGGCUAGAGUCGCAAUAGGGGUGGCAAGAAUUCCUGGUGUAGGAGUGAAAUCUGUAGAUAUCAGGAGGAAUACCAAUAGCGAAGGCAAGCCACUGGGUAGCGACUGACGCUCAUGUACGAAAGCUAGGGGAGCAAAUGGG
RNAcentral lists this ribosomal RNA (254 nucleotides) under uncultured bacterium. RNAcentral's name for it is "partial 16S ribosomal RNA". It matches the Rfam family "Bacterial small subunit ribosomal RNA", at positions 524 to 776 of the family's 1533-position model. The record is from RNAcentral.